GUGGAUUAGAUACCCGGGUAGUCCACGCUGUAAACGAUGAGUGCUAGAUGUUGGAAGGAAACUUUCAGUGUCGCAGCUAACGCAUUAAGCACUCCGCCUGGGGAGUACGGUCGCAAGAUUAAAACUCAAAGGAAUUGACGGGGGCCCGCACAAGCGGUGGAGCAUGUGGUUUAAUUCGACGCAACGCGAAAAACCUUACCAGCCCUUGACAUGGGGAUUCUGGGUUUCAGAGAUGAAACCCUUCAGUUCGGCUGGAUCCCACACAGGUGCUGCACGGCCGUCGUCAACU
Molecule: ribosomal RNA, 289 nt
Filed under: uncultured bacterium
Lineage: Bacteria
Description: partial 16S ribosomal RNA
Rfam family: Bacterial small subunit ribosomal RNA
Source: RNAcentral